Molecule: ribosomal RNA, 468 nt
Filed under: uncultured bacterium
Lineage: Bacteria
Description: partial 16S ribosomal RNA
Rfam family: Bacterial small subunit ribosomal RNA
Source: RNAcentral
GACGAACGCUGGCGGCGUGCUUAACACAUUCAAGUCGAACGGAAAGGCCCUGCUUUUGUGGGGUGCUCGAGUGGCGAACGGGUGAGUAACACGUGAGUAACCUGCCCUUGACUUUGGGGUAACUUCAGGAAACUGGGGCUAAUACCGGAUAGGAGCUCCUGCUGCAUGGUGGGGGUUGGAAAGUUUCGGCGGUUGGGGAUGGACUCGCGGCUUAUCAGCUUGUUGGUGGGGUAGUGGCUUACCAAGGCUUUGACGGGUAGCCGGCCUGAGAGGGUGACCGGCCACAUUGGGACUGAGAUACGGCCCAGACUCCUACGGGAGGCAGCAGUGGGGAAUAUUGCACAAUGGGCGGAAGCCUGAUGCAGCAACGCCGCGUGCGGGAUGACGGCCUUCGGGUUGUAAACCGCUUUCGCCUGUGACGAAGCGUGAGUGACGGUAAUGGGUAAAGAAGCACCGGCUAACUACGUG